This is a long non-coding RNA of Prionailurus viverrinus (fishing cat), 774 nucleotides long. RefSeq lists it as uncharacterized. The transcript is spliced from 5 exons. The record is from RefSeq and is a predicted model, not a curated record. Lineage: Eukaryota; Metazoa; Chordata; Mammalia; Carnivora; Felidae.
UGACUACAAAAGGAACUAUGAGAAGAAGAUAAUAAGAUUAACAAUAGAGAACCUUGACAAGUGAUAUCAGCAGCUAUGGAAACAUCUGCUUGCCAAGCAGUGAUGUAUAUUGGACACUCUCUCAAGCAUUAUUUUAAACAAGCAAACAGGGACCACUUCCAAGAUAAAGAAAGUCGCCAUUCUUCGAUGAUGAAUUCAUAAUGAAGGGAAUCCUCACUCCAAAUGGACUUGGGCUUUUUCAGGCAGAAACGGCAAAAUUGCCAAGUUCCACGAGACAAUUUCUUACGGGAGAACAGCCAGGACCCGCGGCCCUGAAAAGGCAGCAAUGAAGCAGACCCCGUUGCUAAAAUGAAAUCACUUAAUUUGUCACGUGAGCGUGCCUACCCAGAAACUAUUAGCUGCGUUGGAAGAAAGACUGAAAAUACGUAAACUCUAAGAGAAGGUCCGGUCUCUACAUGGCAUGCUGAGUUUAGGGAAAUCUGCAUGCUGCUUUCCUUUCCCACAAAAGACGCUGAGGUGUCCCUGGUGUGCCUAACGGCACAUUUCAGGGUUGGUUUAUUCCAGGAGCAACACUUCUUUGACUGCCUUUUUCCCUCCAAAUUCUUGCCGUGGCAUUUCUCCUAUCAAAGGGAAAUCCAACCACAUAGCUCCAGACACCUUCUCCUUACUUCCUAUUUCCCCAACAUUUUGUUAUAAAAAUGUUCACACACAUAGAAAGAGAACACUCAUGUAGCCACUACCUUGAUUUACCAUUGAUGUUUUGCUACACUCAUU